CCGGGGCUUAUUCUGCUAACACCCCAACCCACCUGUAGCUACAAACUAACCACGACAGAACUGUGGAGGCAAAAGGAAAAAAAAGGAAAACUCACCCACCUUAUCCUCUCCUCCACCUCUGUCUCUCCCCGUGCUCCACUCUUGCACGACCACCUCCACCCCCGCACGACCACCUCCCUGUGCUGCCGGACCACCUCCCUGCCGUGCCGCCACACCACCUCCCUUCCCGCGUCGCGCCCAACCCCCCGUCCACCUUCUUCCAACGCCACCGCCGGAGCACCACUCCCAGGACGCUGUCGCGCCUCCCUCCCCGCGCGACCAGGGCUCCCCUGAGCGGCCUUCCUCUCCAUGCUCGCCACCGCAAGCCGCCCCACCACCUUCCUUGCUCCAUCGCCUCCAUCUCUGCGCGCGGCGGUGGCAAGCCAGCACCAGCCAACCGCCUUCCUCUCCGCGUCUGGGCACCGUGAGCAGGCGCCGCCCCGCCAUCUUAUUCUUCGCGCCCGACCGCCACGAGGAGAGUUCGUGGUUCUUUCCUUGGAGGACGGGGCGGAGGAAGUGGAGCAGAGGCGGCCGAUGUGGAGGCCUUGGAUGCGGCCGGAGGAGCAGGGCUGCGGCUGCAGCGUGCCCUGCACCUCCACCACCGCCCACUCUGGGCAUGCCGCCUCGCCGCACCCACACCGGACCUAGAUCUACAUCGCCGCCUCACCUCGGAUCCGAUGCAGAGACAGAGAGGAGGGGGAGGGAUAUCCCGUCUUCGUGCAGCUCGGUCGCGGUCCCCUGUGCAGCUUGGUCGCGGACCCCGUGUAGCUCGGUUGCGGCCCCAGUCUUCAUGCAGAUUUCACUUGGGCACAUCGCUGCAUUUAUGUUGGGGCGACAGUGCGGUGCGGCUGGAUGUCCAAUCCACCGGCGAUUGUGCUUGCAGUCUAGUGGCACGAGGCUCGUGGUCGGAUCUGCAAUGCAGUGCUAUUCUCCCUUCUGCACUGCAGUUCGCCAGCAGAUGUGUUGACCCAUCCAAGAUCAACUGCACCCCCUCCACCACCAUCGUUUGGAGCCAACAGGUCCUGGGAUCCGACGAGCCGCCCUCGCAUUUGUCGCCCUCCCUGUGGACACCCUUUCCGCCGACGAGUUGCACCUCUGUGGCGGCCGGCGGCCCCGUCUCCGCUGGUCGCUGGAGCAGACCAUAUGCACCCCCACCCGACCCACGGUGCACGCUGACUUCCGCUUCAGUUUCGCUUUGUCUAUAUGACCAACUCCGGCGUUUUGUUGUGUACCGAACGCACUUAGCGCUGCCUGAAUCAUGUUGUUUUGGACUGAUCCACUAACAAAGCCGUGGUUGGAGUAGUGUUGGGUCUCAAUAAUGGCGGUGCCACUGCUUGCUUGCUCGCUCCACAGGAGGCAGAACCACCAACAAAAAAACGAGAGUCGAGAAUGCCCAGAUGCGGGCUGCUGCCGGCGUGCGUGCAGUCCAUCAUUUGAUUUUUUUGUUUGUUUGUGUUUUGAGGUGGUCGCGAUUCAUGGGGCACGGGCGUGCAGUGCGAAGCCCAUGUGCAUGCAGUCCGUGGAGAUGGGGUGCCGAACGACGAAUCGUGCAGUCCGCGGAGAUGUGCGUGCUGUCGUCGACGAUUUUUGUUUGGUGUCUAUUUUGCUCACAGUUGACAUUUUUGCGUAUUUCAGAUUUUGGUUGCUGUCCCAUGGGCGCACAUGUGCAGUGCUUGUGGGUUAGACAUACAAUGCGCCGGCGUCACUUGCUUGCAUUUUAGGGACCAAAUUGUGGAUUUAUUUAAGUCCCACAUCAAUGUAAUUUGUAUGUGUUUGUACUAUAUGGAUUAUAAAGAGCAGCAUUGCAAGCAGCAUUGCAGCCCUGUCUUGUAGCCCAUAGAUGCACCAGUCAUAGCUCUCCCAGAAACGUGCAUUGAAGAAAACAAACAGUACUUAUUUUGAAAUGGA
Triticum aestivum (bread wheat) is the source of this 1947-nucleotide long non-coding RNA. RefSeq lists it as uncharacterized. Lineage: Eukaryota; Viridiplantae; Streptophyta; Magnoliopsida; Poales; Poaceae. The record is from RefSeq and is a predicted model, not a curated record. The transcript has 2 exons.